AUGUCACUAACAAGUCUACAAUCCUUUAGGUAUAAGAUCCCCCUUACACUAAUAGAUAGCUCAGCAAGUUUGGAUGCAGUUGCGUUUAAUAAAAUAGCUGAAGACUUGGUUGAGUGUCAUGCUGAGCAAGUUUCUAUGAACAUGAAAAUAGAUGUUGUGGAUCAUGUGCUUUCCCUAGAUAAAGCCAUUGGUAAAGAAAGGUUAUUCUAUAUAGGAAUGAAUAUUGAUUUAGCUGCCAAGUACCCUAUAAAAUAUGUCCUGAAAAAAAGUUUCCCCGUGGACAAUACCAAAUCGGUUCCUCUAUUAACUGCUUCAAAGGUAACAACUUUUUGA
RNAcentral lists this ribosomal RNA (333 nucleotides) under Triticum aestivum (bread wheat). Its description in RNAcentral is "partial small subunit ribosomal RNA". The record is from RNAcentral. Lineage: Eukaryota; Viridiplantae; Streptophyta; Magnoliopsida; Poales; Poaceae.